AUGGGGGUGAUGUCGCGGCGGGUGCUGCCGGCAUGCAGCAGCCUCUGCUACUUCUGCCCCUCGCUGCGGGCGAGGUCACGGCAGCCCGUCAAGCGCUACAAGAAGAUCAUCUCGGAGAUCUACCAGCUGCCCGCGGACGGAGAACCGAAUGACAGAAGGAUCGGGAAACUCUGCGAUUACGUCUCGAGAAAUCCAACCCGCAUACCAAAGAUCACAGAGUAUCUUGAGCAGAGAUGCUAUAAAGAACUGAGACAUGAUAAUUUCACCUUGGCCAAAGUUGUUCCAUGCAUAUAUAGGAAACUUCUGCGUUCAUGCAAGGAGCAUACACCGUUGCUGGCCACAAGCACAUUGUGUAUUGUUCGCACUCUUCUAGAUCAGAAAUCAAGUGAUGAUUUGCAGAUCCUGGGUUGUCUAUUGCUUGUUGACUUUCUCGAUGGACAGGUUGACAGCACACAUAUGUUCAGUUUAGAAGGCAUGAUACCGAAACUAUGCAAAAUUGCUCAAGAACUAAGGGAAGAUGACAAAGGGAUCCGCCUUCGAUCUGCUGCACUCCAAUCUCUCGCUUCAAUGGUCGAAUACAUGGGUGACCACUCGCAUAUCUCAAUGGAACUUGAUGAAGUUGUCUCAGUGAUAAUAAGCUGUUAUGAGGCUAAUCAAACUCUCUCAAUAAAAGAGGUCGUCAGAUUUCAAGAUGAUGAUGAUUUGACAAUGUUGGCAGUAUCUGGGCAAAAUAAUGCCAAAGUGGCAGCUGAUACAAUGGCUGCAACUGAGAAUCCCGCACACUGGGCAAGGGUUUGCUUGCGUAACAUGGCCAAUAUUGCAAAGGAGGCAACAACAGUGCGGCGUAUUCUUGAUCCUCUGUUUCGCCUUUUCGAUAGCCACAAUUACUGGUCUCCUGAAAGUGGGGUUGCCCUUUCUGUUCUACAAGAAAUGCAAACACUGAUGGACAAAUCAGGGCAAAAUGGCCAUUUGCUGCUAUCUUUUACUAUAAAGCACAUUGAUCAUAAAAGUGUUGCCAAGAUGCCCGCCAAGCAAAUCAGCAUUGUAAAAGUUGCUUCUCAUCUUGCAAAGCAGGCAAAGUCGCAUGCAUCAGUAACAAUAGCGAGUGCAAUCAGCGAUUUAGUAAAACACUUGCGAAAAUGUAUGUACCGUGCUGUUGAAGCAUCAAAUGCUCAAGCUGAUAUUGACAAGUGGAACAGUGAACUUUAUGUGGCCUUGGAGGAGUGUCUGGUGCAAUUGACAGAGAAGGUUGGGGAUGUUGGUCCUAUUCUUGACAUGAUCAGUGUAAUGCUCGAGAAUCUCUCGUACACUGCCAACAUCGCCAGGACAACAGUGUCAUCUGUUUACCGCACAGCACAAAUAGCAGCUUAUGUGUACAAGUCAUCAUACAACCAGAAAGCAUUUCCAGAAGCUUUGUAUCACCAGCUUCUCUUAGCAAUGAUGCACCCAGACAAUAAGACAAGGAUUGGCUCACACCGUGUUUUAUCCACCAUUGUCGCGCCUUCGUUGUUAUGCCCAUGGUCAGCCAUAGGUUUUCCUGUCCCAAUGAAGGUCAAUGGGUCGCAGAGUGUGCUUUUGUUGGCAUUGUCAGCUUUCUCUUCUGAGACCAUAAUGGAUGAACUGCAGUCUAAAAGUAGGACCAAGGAAUCCUUGCAGGAAAACGAGAAACCAGAAGCUGUGGUAAGUGCUGAGAAUGGAUAUGCACAUACAGAACCAAAUACAAGGCAGUCUUCAGGGAACCCAUAUUUCAAUGAUCGUCUUUCCACUUUUAAAGAUCAGAACUCAAAGUUAAUGAAGUUGAACAAUGGCCAACUUGUUCUUCUUCUUUCAUCUAUUUGGAGUCAAGCAUCCCUGGAAGAUAACUCGCCUUCAAAUUUUGAGACAAUGGGCCAUACUUACAAUGUUGCUUUGUUGUGUUCAAAAGCAAAAACCUCCAGUCAUGUGGCACUAGUUCGAUGUUUCCAGUUGGCUUUUUCUCUCAGGAGGUUGUCUCUGAACCAAGAUAAUGUUGCGCAACCAUCUCGGAGAAGGUGUUUGUAUACAAUGGCAUCAGCAAUGCUUAUUUUUUCAGCAAAAGUUGCUGAUAUUCCUCAGAUAACCCAUCUUGUCAAAGCCGCAGUGCUAGAGGAAAUGGUUGAUCCUCAUCUUUGCCUGAUUGAUGACUGCAAACUCACUGUUACUUCUGCACAAUCUUCGAACAGUGGAAUGCUUUACGGUUCUGAGGAAGAUGAAAGUGAUGCACAAGUUUUUCUUUCAGCUGUAAAUAAGGAUGAUACACAGUUAAAAGACAUUGUGAUAUCCCACUUCAAGAGAAAAUUUGAAAAUUCACCAGAGAAGUUUGACGGGAUAGAAGAACAGCUUCUUCAAGAGUUCUCCCUAGAUGAUUCGUUUCCUCUUGGUGCUCCAUUAUUCAUGGAGACGCCACACUCUUGUUCAAUGUACGCUGAAAAGGAUGAUCACUGUUUUGACGAGGAUGUUAUUCCUUGUGAGAUGGAUGAUGACGAUGACAUCGUCUUUGAACAUAGUGGAUCGCAGUCUGACAGGAAAACAUCAGGAUCUAUGGCUUCAUCCGAUGUUCUAAAUGUGAAUCAACUGAUGGAAUCUGUCCAUGAGACAGCAAGGCAAGUUGCUAACAUUCCAGUCUCCACCAAUCCUGUGUCCUAUGACCAAAUGAAGAGCCAAUGUGAAUCCCUAGUAAUGGAAAAGCAGCAGAAGAUGUCUGUUCUCAUGAGCUUCAAGCACUCGAGGACCGAUUCGCGUAGCUCAAUCGGGGAAAACGGACCGGAAACAAAUGAGUCAUCUGCUCAAUCUGAACGUGAGUCGCAUUUGACAAGAAAGGACUACAUGCGGCGCAACGAUUCGACAUCCAGCGAUGACCGGUCCUUCAGAUUGCCACCUGCAAGCCCGUACGACAAGUUCUUGAAGGCAGCUGGACGGUAG
This 2940-nucleotide ribosomal RNA is filed under the name Triticum aestivum (bread wheat). Its description in RNAcentral is "partial small subunit ribosomal RNA". The record is from RNAcentral. Lineage: Eukaryota; Viridiplantae; Streptophyta; Magnoliopsida; Poales; Poaceae.